UUGAGAAAUGUUUGUUUGUCAGUGCCACAAAGUGCAAGCCCACCGGUAGCUGCUGUUGUGGUUCCAUUGAUGCUGAUUGUCCUGAUUGGUAUUGGGGUUGCUGUGGUCGUCAUAAUAAGGUAAUAAUUGAGAAAUGUUUGUUUGUCAGUGCCACAAAGUGCAAGCCCAUCGGUAGCUGCUGUUGUGGUUCCAUUGGUGUUGAUUGUCCUGAUUGGUAUUGGGGUUGCUGUGGUCUUCAUAAUAAGGUAGUUAUUAAAGUCUCAAUUGAGUAAUGUUUGUUUGUCAGUGCCACAAAGUGCAAGCCCACCGGUAGCUGCUGUUGUGGUUCCAUUGGUGUUGAUUGUCCUGAUUGGUAUUGGGGUUGCUGUGGUCGUCAUAAUAAGGUAGUUAUUAAACGCUCAACUUAGUGAAAUUCUCUGAUGUUCCUUAAACAAAAAUAGGGGAAAGAAUUGAAAUAAAAAACAUCAGAAUAAACAGGAUAUAGGAUUUGAGGCAUUGUAUGGUGAGGUAUCAUUAUAUAUUUGGUUUCCUAGCAAUAAUAUUUCGAGGGGAAAAACAUUUUUCGAGGUUCUGCAAUGAAUUUGGGGAGCGGAAUGAUGUCAGGGCAACAAAAUUACAUUUUAAGGAAACGUAAUAAUUUUGUCGAGGGAAAGGAAUACUUAUAACUUCGAGGGGUAAAAAUUAUUAAUCUUUUCGAAAGAGCUCCGUAGACCUCGGCUUUUGGCUGCGGCGCAUGUGAUAAACCCUUCUUAAUGAUUUGGUGAACUAAUAAGUGCAACUGUUCUUUGCUUAGUGAAAGGUUAGUUUUGUGUUUGUUGUUUAUUUUCCGUACCUUUGACAGGUGGAAGAAGAGGCUUAGACAUCUAAACGCUGUAAAUGGUAUGUCAUCAUUUACAUCUCUGUAAACUUUCAUUUCAGAAAAAAAUAUUUUUCAGUUUUGUGUGAGAGGAUGAGAAAUUUCAGACUUUAAUUUGAAUUUAGGUCUUUAAAUAAUUGCCUUGACAAAAUGUAUAGCUGCUAUUAUCUUCAUAUUACCACGAAACUCUACCUAUUCAUCUCCCUGCAGUGUUGAUGACAAAGUUCCCAUGAAAUUCCUUAAAAUCGAAAGUUCCAGAGUGAUCUUUGUCAUAAUCAUUUUCACAAGAUUUAAAUCAUUGGGGAUUAAACAGUUUUGAUAAUGUGAAGGUAACACCUUUUUUUGAAACUUAAAUGUAAAAACAAUAUUAAAUAUUGUUCCUUCCCCUCAAAAUAUAAUUUCGUUAUCUCAAAAUACUUUUACUUUUGUCAAUGUAAUGCGUUAUUUUGUUCCCUCGAAAUUGAUUUGUUCUCUCGAGAUUAUUUUGGUCCCUCGAUUUUGUUGUUCGCAGACACGAACAAUGGGUAUGUAUUAAAGCAUAUAAACUAGGGAGAUCAAAUAUUAAAUUCAUUUCAAAUAUGUUUUGCAUAUCCUCUUCUGUUGACAACUUCAGUAAAGUUUGUUUUCAAAUGUUUGUUUUCAUUUGUUUUAUCAGUAGUGCGGACAGGCAUGGAAGAACUUUCUACAGGACCAGACAAUCCUGACGUUGAUGUCACCUCUGAUGUUAUUGCUGACACCAUAUCAACCAAUGUACCUAUCAUUGCACCAUCCGCUCUAUCAAUUUGAUUGACUAAUGUUUACAAGCAAUUAUGCAGAUUUUAUUGAACAUGUAACAGAUGCCUGUGGUCAUGCAAAGUAUUUUUUAAAAUCUUACUAAUCUUAUUUGUACACGGUUACCCUAAUCUGCACCAUCCGCUCUAUCAAUUUGAUUGCACCAUCCGCUCUAUCAAUUUGAUUGACUAAUGUUUACAAGCAAUUAUGCAGAUUUUAUUGAACAUGUAACAGAUGCCUGUGGUCAUGCAAAGUAUUUUUUUAAAUCUUACUAAUCUUAUUUGUACACGGUUACCCUAAUCUGCAGACAGUUAAACAUGUAACAAGAUCUAAGAAGAAUGAGAGGGGAACAGUUGCUCUUUGACUGAAUUUCUUUUUUAUAAAUUACCAUAAUUUAGAAUGUGCAAAGUGGGUAGACCACAUACCCAAUAAUCCAAUUGUGAGUUAGAUUUGAAAAAUGUCUGGUAAAAUGACUUAGUCAAAAUGAAACACUUACAUUUGAAGUUCUCGCUUGAUCACAAGUUACCACUUAAAGAGAAACGGAUAUGGGCUAUAUAAGAAGCCACGAUAUAAAUUAAUUAAUUACCCAGACAGUUAUUUGGUAAACGUGUGAUGUCAAGAUUCACAGCCUGAGGUGAAGGCAACACCAUGAAGUAGUCCUUAAUAUUUACAAUGACCGUCUUGCACUUUGUUAACUCAGUCUCUCUUCAAAGUCCAUCUUGAAGGAAUACACUGUUGCUUUCAAGUCACUUGCUACGAACCAAA
Asterias rubens (European starfish) is the source of this 2392-nucleotide long non-coding RNA. RefSeq lists it as uncharacterized. NCBI's taxonomy places the organism in Eukaryota, Metazoa, Echinodermata, Asteroidea, Forcipulatida, Asteriidae. The record is from RefSeq and is a predicted model, not a curated record. The transcript has 3 exons.